GGAAUUAAACACUUCAGCAGCUAAAAUUGGAACACAAAAGAUUAGCAUGGCCUCUGCACAAGGUUGAUACCCAAAUUUGUGAGCAGUCAUAUUUUUUU
Molecule: small nuclear RNA, 98 nt
Filed under: Apaloderma vittatum (bar-tailed trogon)
Lineage: Eukaryota; Metazoa; Chordata; Aves; Trogoniformes; Trogonidae
Source: RNAcentral